This 643-nucleotide ribosomal RNA is filed under the name uncultured bacterium. Its description in RNAcentral is "bacterial SSU rRNA". It matches the Rfam family "Bacterial small subunit ribosomal RNA", at positions 28 to 560 of the family's 1533-position model. The record is from RNAcentral.
GAUGAACGCUGGCGGUGUGCCUUAAGCAUGCAAGUCGAGCGAAAAUAGAGCAAUCUGUUUUAGCGGCAGACGGGUGAGUAACACGUAGGAAUCUACCUCUUGGUGGGGAAUAGCCCUCCGAAAGGAGGGGUAAUACCGCAUUAUCUCGUGCUUUGCACGAGGAAUUUCUAAUUUCUAAUGAUUCUAAUUUCUAAUCAAAUCCCAAAUAUCAAUGACUAAAAAACAUUGGUGAUUGGGGCCUCAUUAGAUCAAUUAGAGUAAUUAGGUUAAUUAGGCAUUUCUUGUGCAGAGUGCGAGCAAAGGCCGUAACUGGUCGCCGAGAGAGGAGCCUGCGUCCUAUCAGCUUGUUGGUGAGGUAAUGGCUCACCAAGGCAAUGACGGGUAGCCGGUGUGAGAGCACGAUCGGCCACAAGGUAACUGAGACACGGUGCCUACACCUACGGGUGGCAGCAACUGGGAAUCUUGCGCAAUGGACGAAAGUCUGACGCAGCGACACCGCGUGUGGGAUGAAGCAUUUCGGUGUGUAAACCACUGUGGCGGGGGAGAAAGAUCUGAUAGUACCCCGCUAGAAAGCAUCUGCUAACUACGUGCCAGAAGCCUCGGCAAUGCGUANGAUGCAAGCGUUAUCCGGAUUUACUGGGCG